GGCCGAGACACUGGCUUCACUGGACCACCGGAAGGAGGCGGGAGAAAGGACAGAAAGAAAGACAAGUGUUCAUUUCAAUGAAGGUGUAGAGUGCAGUGUCCCUCACCAGGCAGGGGUUCCUCACUGAGGGCAGCAGUGUCCACAGUGGAGGGAGGCUGUGCUAUGUGCUCUGUGGGUGGGGUUUGGGGAGAACUCGUAUGCACGGGCAUGAGCUCUGAUUGGAGGCUCCCCUCCACUUGGUUUUGGGUGGGAGCAUUCUGGAGAAGCAAGUAAGAAGGCCAUCACCAAACGUAAACACAAGUCACAGCAUUAUCUUCGAGGUGCUACGGUGUAAUACAAGAUGCGAGGGCUGUAGGACUGCUGGACAUACACACACACACACACACACAAACACACACUGAAGGGGCCUGUGUGAGUAAAAUGCGCGCAGUAAAAUGAGAGCAGAAAGAGACGCCAUGCUCAACAAGCCUACCUGGAAGAGAAAAUUGCUCCAAGCAGCAUCCAUUUUGCGCCACAGCGGUGGAGAUUAUAAAGUCAGCUCCUGAUUGGGAUCGAGAAGGGCAGCCUUUGCAUGUUUCGAUCGGCUCACCGGUGAUCGAGGCGCACACAGCCGCCUGUUCUGCAGCAGGAAACGACGGGCUUCUGGAUUUUCUUGAAAAAACGUGAAUAAAGUCGUCUGCAAAAAUAUGUAUUUUUUUUUUCUCAUUGAGGUAGCCUAAUG
Molecule: long non-coding RNA, 721 nt
Organism: Dicentrarchus labrax (European seabass)
Lineage: Eukaryota; Metazoa; Chordata; Actinopteri; Moronidae
Exons: 2
Source: RefSeq, a predicted model, not a curated record